GACGAACGCUGGCGGCGUGCCUAAUACAUGCAAGUCGAGCGGACGUUUUUGAAGCUUGCUUCAAAAACGUUAGCGGCGGACGGGUGAGUAACACGUGGGCAACCUACCUUAUCGACUGGGAUAACUCCGGGGAACCGGGGCUAAUACCGGAUAACAUCUAGCACCUCCUGGUGCCGGAUUAAAAGAGGGCUUCUUGCUCUCACGAUGAGAUGGGCCCGCGGCGCAUUAGCUAGUUGGAGAGGUAACGGCUCCCCAAGGCGACGAUGCGUAGCCGACCUGAGAGGGUGAUCGGCCACACUGGGACUGAGACACGGCCCAGACUCCUACGGGAGGCAGCAGUAGGGAAUCUUCCGCAAUGGACGAAAGUCUGACGGAGCAACGCCGCGUGAGUGAUGAAGGGUUUCGGCUCGUAAAGCUCUGUUAUGAGGGAAGAACACGUACCGUUCGAAUAGGGCGGUACCUUGACGGUACCUCAUCAGAAAGCCACGGCUAACUACGUGCCAGCAGCCGCGGUAA
RNAcentral lists this ribosomal RNA (516 nucleotides) under uncultured bacterium. RNAcentral describes it as "partial 16S ribosomal RNA". It matches the Rfam family "Bacterial small subunit ribosomal RNA", at positions 28 to 523 of the family's 1533-position model. The record is from RNAcentral.